CCAGCAAUGCCGCGUGUGUGAGAAGGCCUUGCGGGUUGUAAAGCACUUUCAUUAGGGAAGAAAAACUUAGGGUUUAUACCCCUGGGCCUUGACGGUACCCACCAAAGAAGCACCGGYUAACUCCGUGCCAGCAGCCGCGGUAAUACCGAGGGGGCAAGCGUUAAUCGGAAUUACUGGGCGUAAAGCGCGUGUAGGCGGUUUKUUAAGUCGGAUGUGAAAACCCCGGGCUCAACCUGGGAAAUGCAUUUGAAACUGGCUAGCUUGAGWUUGGUGARAGGGAAGUGGAAUUCCCGGKGUAGCGGUGAAAUKCGUARAUAUCCGGAGGAACAUCAGUGGCGAAGGCGRCUUCCUGGGCCAAAACUGACSCUGAGGCUCGAAAAGCGUGGGGAGCAAACGGGAUUARAUACCCUGGUAGCCCCCCCCCUAAACGAUGUCAACUAAACGUUGGGGGCWUUAAAACCYUCAGUGUCGCAGCUUAACSCWUUAAUUGUCCGCCUGGGGAGUACCGGCGCCAGGUUUAAA
Molecule: ribosomal RNA, 522 nt
Filed under: uncultured Gammaproteobacteria bacterium
Lineage: Bacteria; Pseudomonadati; Pseudomonadota; Gammaproteobacteria
Description: partial 16S ribosomal RNA
Rfam family: Bacterial small subunit ribosomal RNA
Source: RNAcentral